This 251-nucleotide ribosomal RNA is filed under the name uncultured bacterium. RNAcentral's name for it is "partial 16S ribosomal RNA". It matches the Rfam family "Bacterial small subunit ribosomal RNA", at positions 524 to 776 of the family's 1533-position model. The record is from RNAcentral.
GACAAAGGGGGCGAGUGUUAUCCAUCAUAACUAGGUGUAAAAGGUACGUAGAUUGAUUAAUAAAAAAUAUUAAUGAAAUUUUAUAAAAAACUAUAAAAAUUAAUGUUUUUUAUAAUCUAGAGAAAAAAGCGGGUAAAUGGAAUCACUAGUGUAGGGUUGAAAUCCAGCAAUAUUAGUGGGAAGGCUAAAAGCGUAAGCAGUUUACUAGCGUUUUCUGACAUUGAGGUACGAAAGUCUGGGGAGCAAAUGGG